GCCGCCUUAGCUCAGUUGGUAGAGCAGCUGAUUUGUAAUCAGCAGGUCAUUGGUUCGAAUCCGAUAGGCGGCU
Molecule: transfer RNA, 73 nt
Filed under: Ignavibacteriae bacterium HGW-Ignavibacteriae-4
Lineage: Bacteria; Pseudomonadati; Ignavibacteriota
Also listed under: 4 other names
Description: tRNA-Thr
Rfam family: tRNA
About the family: Transfer RNA (tRNA) molecules are approximately 80 nucleotides in length. Their secondary structure includes four short double-helical elements and three loops (D, anti-codon, and T loops). Further hydrogen bonds mediate the characteristic L-shaped molecular structure. tRNAs have two regions of fundamental functional importance: the anti-codon, which is responsible for specific mRNA codon recognition, and the 3' end, to which the tRNAs corresponding amino acid is attached (by aminoacyl-tRNA synthetases). tRNAs cope with the degeneracy of the genetic code in two manners: having more than one tRNA (with a specific anti-codon) for a particular amino acid; and 'wobble' base-pairing, i.e. permitting non-standard base-pairing at the 3rd anti-codon position.
Source: RNAcentral